GUGUCCGUAGCUCAGCUGGAUAGAGCGUCGGCCUCCGGAGCCGAAGGUCUCGGGUUCAAAUCCCGACGGGCACGCCA
This 77-nucleotide transfer RNA is filed under the name Synergistetes bacterium ADurb.Bin155. RNAcentral's name for it is "tRNA-Arg". It matches the Rfam family "tRNA". Rfam says of the family: Transfer RNA (tRNA) molecules are approximately 80 nucleotides in length. Their secondary structure includes four short double-helical elements and three loops (D, anti-codon, and T loops). The record is from RNAcentral. Lineage: Bacteria; Thermotogati; Synergistota. RNAcentral also lists the same sequence under 4 other names.